Carya illinoinensis is the source of this 2185-nucleotide long non-coding RNA. RefSeq lists it as uncharacterized. The record is from RefSeq and is a predicted model, not a curated record. Lineage: Eukaryota; Viridiplantae; Streptophyta; Magnoliopsida; Fagales; Juglandaceae. The transcript has 2 exons.
GCUAGGAAAAAUAUAGAGCUGUUACAGAGGGUUUCUGUUCCAGGAGAGAUGGCACCUAGUGCAUCAAAUACUGCAAUAGGCGCCCUCUCUCCUGGGCAGAAACCCCCUUCACUCUCUAAUGCAUACUGCGCCACUUGGUUACGCACGAGCUGGACGAACCCUUUUCAAAGCACCUCCAAUCUCCUCACGAAUGUUUUGAGCGGUGGUUCAUGGCACUUGCAGAGACUAAACUCCUCCCAAUGAUCUCUCCCUUGUUUCCUUGGACGGUGAGUUUGUGGGUGCGUGCACGAAAUUUAAGCUGAGAAUCAUUACAAGCAAACAAUAUAUAUGGCAGGCCCUUUACUAAUUAAUCAGAACCCUAUAUGCGUCAGAAAACUCUUGCAAGGAGACUAGCUACUAGGCAUUAAUGACCUUAUGCCUUCCGAUAAAGAGAAUAAAAAGUCGGCCGAAACUCUUAUCUCUUCCUCUAUAUUAUAUAAAUAUAUAUUCAUCACAGAAAGAUUACAUCUAAAACUUGAUAUGUAGAUAAAUUCCCAAAUCACAAGUUAACUAUUGCGUUCGGAGCUUCACUAGCACACACUUGUGAUUGAUAUGUCUUAACUACUGUUGUAACUCUCUAUAGACAAACAGUCUAAGAGACAGUACACUGUCUAAAAUAGAAACUCAUAUACUACCCUCCAUAGGAGGAAAUGACUUAACCUCUACGAAUAAAACGUCAAAAAAGCGAUCUUUUAUUAUUAUUAUUAUUUUUUAAACUAAACAAAAGGAAACAACAAUGAAAGUUAAAAAAUAGAUGUGAAAAUAAUUAAUUACAGUUUAUAUAUAUUCUAGUAGAUUUUGAAAUUAGCCAUAAAAGUCAAAUCUGAAUGAUCUGAUCUAGUGAUCCGCCACUAUUUUUCCAACAAUCAGCAUAGGAAGCAUCUUGUGUUGCUCGCGUGUCACAACAGGUGUCAAAAAACUAUAGAUCUGUCUUUUCAAUCUUGAAGGAAACAAAAAAAAUUAGGGAAGGUGAUCAGGGAGAAGAGAAGGGAAUGAGGGAUGAAAAGGGGAGGAAAUGAGAGAGGGAAAGGAAGAGAAAGAAUGGAUAGAGAAUGAAGGAAUGGGAGGGGAAAGGGAAGAGGAGGAUCGAGGAGGAGGAGGAGGAGGGGCCUCCUCCCGCAAUUUGAAAAAUUUCUAAGAGAGAGUUUGAGAAUAAGAGUGUCGGAACUAGGAUUUCUAGAUUCUAUCUCUUCAUCUAUAUUGAUACGAAGAAACUAAUUUCAAUAUAUAGGUAUUAAUCCUCUUUCUUUGGCAAGUAUGGCAUCUCUAGUCUCCAACUUAAGAUUUACGCAUUCGCAUUUGACAGUCUGAUCAAACUUUUAAAGCAUUUGAUCAAAUAUGCCAUACUGUUACUAAGGCAUUAAUUAAGGUCAAUUAUACGUGCGGAGGACAAAAGCCCUAAUUAAGGUCAAUUAUACGUGCGGAAGACACAAGCCCUGAACCAAUUAAGUUAGCAUGCAUGGGCAAUAUCUAUAAAAAGAACACACGAACAAAACCUGCAAGGGAAACCAAAGUUAGCCUGGGUACUACACCAUUGCAGGCAACCGGCACUAGUAAUAACAAGCACACCAAAAAAAAAAAAAAAAUUUAAAAAUCCCAACCUCAAAUUGGAGGAGUGAAAAUUGAGGUAAUUCAUUUCUUAAUCCUUGAGAAAACACACCCUUGAGGGUGCCCUUAAUUAAGACAUUAGAGCGGUCAGUGUCACCAUAAUUUUGUUUGCAAACUGGAAAGCAUAGAGGCCGAAUGUAUCAGUUGCAUCCUUUAUAAAUAUGGCUAUAUAUUAAAGAUAAAGGCAUACUGCUUUAAGAACUACUUUACAUUUUAUUUGAAUUCCAAAGUACUGCUACUUCCAAAAGAAAAGUGUAGGUUCCAAAACCCUCUCUCUCCAAACACACAUACGUAAGAGCCAAGAGGAAUAUUUAUCUGAAUUUUAACAGGGACAAACCGGCCUCAUCAUGAAUAUCAUGAUCAUCAGAGGUAAACACACCGGUCUUACGACGAAGCUACUCACGUAUUGGCGCGUGCAGCUUUUUCUUUUCUUUUUCUUUUUCUUUGUUGUCAAUGGAUUAAUUGAGUGAUCAUGCGAAUGUUCCUAAUUAUUAGCGCACGGAGUCCAAGUUCAAAGUUUGAAUAAAUCCCUUGGAGA